RNAcentral lists this ribosomal RNA (154 nucleotides) under Graphium pseudormiticum. RNAcentral's name for it is "5.8S ribosomal RNA". It matches the Rfam family "5.8S ribosomal RNA". Rfam says of the family: 5.8S ribosomal RNA (5.8S rRNA) is a component of the large subunit of the eukaryotic ribosome. It is transcribed by RNA polymerase I as part of the 45S precursor that also contains 18S and 28S rRNA. Functionally, it is thought that 5.8S rRNA may be involved in ribosome translocation. Lineage: Eukaryota; Fungi; Ascomycota; Sordariomycetes; Microascales; Graphiaceae. RNAcentral also lists the same sequence under 2 other names. The record is from RNAcentral.
AACUUUCAACAACGGAUCUCUUGGCUGUGGCAUCGAUGAAGAACGCAGCGAAAUGCGAUAACUAAUGUGAAUUGCAGAAUUCAGUGAAUCAUCGAGUCUUUGAACGCACAUUGCGCCCGCUGGUAUUCCGGCGGGCAUGCCUGUCCGAGCGUCA